UCCAGCGUAGCUCAGUUGGUAGAGCGGUCGGCUGUUAACCGACUUGUCCGUGGUUCGAGUCCACGCGCUGGAG
RNAcentral lists this transfer RNA (73 nucleotides) under Polyangiaceae bacterium. RNAcentral describes it as "tRNA-Asn". It matches the Rfam family "tRNA". From Rfam's summary of the family: Transfer RNA (tRNA) molecules are approximately 80 nucleotides in length. Their secondary structure includes four short double-helical elements and three loops (D, anti-codon, and T loops). Lineage: Bacteria; Pseudomonadati; Myxococcota; Polyangiales; Polyangiaceae. The record is from RNAcentral.